RNAcentral lists this ribosomal RNA (252 nucleotides) under uncultured bacterium. RNAcentral's name for it is "partial 16S ribosomal RNA". It matches the Rfam family "Bacterial small subunit ribosomal RNA", at positions 524 to 776 of the family's 1533-position model. The record is from RNAcentral.
UACAGAGGGUGCAAGCGUUGCUCGGAAUCAUUGGGCGUAAAGGGUAGGUAGGUGGUCUCAUUUGUCUGGGGUGAAAGCCUUGAGCUUAACUCAAGAAGUGCCCCGGAAACGGUGAGACUGGAGUCCUAGAGAGGCUAGCGGAAUUCCCGGUGUAGCGGUGAAAUGCGUAGAGAUCGGAAGAACACCAGUGGCGAAGGCGGCUCACUGGUCCGGUACUGACGCUGAGGUGCGAAAGCGUGGGGAGCAAACAGG